CCCUUAGAGUUUGAUCCUGGCUCAGAAUCAACGCUGGCGGCGUGCCUAACACAUGCAAGUCGAACGCGACUGGGGCUUCGGUCCCAGUUGAGUGGCGAACGGGUGAGUAACACGUGGGUGACCUACCUUCGAGUGGGGGAUAACGUCCCGAAAGGGACGCUAAUACCGCAUAACAUCCCGCCUUUGAACAGGCGGAGAUCAAAGCCGGGGAUCGCAAGACCUGGCGUUUGAAGAGGGGCCCGCGUCCGAUUAGCUAGUUGGUGAGGUAACGGCCCACCAAGGCAACGAUCGGUAACCGGCCUGAGAGGGCGGACGGUCACACUGGGACUGAGACACGGCCCAGACUCCUACGGGAGGCAGCAGUGGGGAAUUGUUCGCAAUGGGCGCAAGCCUGACGACGCAACGCCGCGUGGAGGAUGAAGGUCUUCGGAUUGUAAACUCCUGUUGCCCGGGACGAAAUGCUCCAACCUAAUACGUUGGAGUUUGACGGUACCGGGUGAGGAAGCCCCGGCUAACUCUGUGCCAGCAGCCGCGGUAAUACAGAGGGGGCAAGCGUUGUUCGGAAUUACUGGGCGUAAAGGGCGCGUAGGCGGCCUGUUAAGUCGAACGUGAAAUCCCCGGGCUCAACCCGGGAACUGCGUCCGAUACUGGCAGGCUUGAAUCCGGGAGAGGGAUGUGGAAUUCCAGGUGUAGCGGUGAAAUGCGUAGAUAUCUGGAGGAACACGGGUGGCGAAGCGGCAUCCUGGACCGGUAUUGACGCUGAGCGCGAAAG
Molecule: ribosomal RNA, 772 nt
Filed under: uncultured bacterium
Lineage: Bacteria
Description: bacterial SSU rRNA
Rfam family: Bacterial small subunit ribosomal RNA
Source: RNAcentral